CCUACGGGAGGCAGCAGUGGGGAAUCUUGCACAAUGGGGGAAACCCUGAUGCAGCGACGCCGCGUGAGCGAUGAAGCCCUUCGGGGUGUAAAGCUCUUUCGGCGGGAACGAUAAUGACGGUACCCGCAGAAGAAGCUGCGGCUAACUACGUGCCAGCAGCCGCGGUAAUACGUAGGCAGCAAGCGUUGUUCGGAGUUACUGGGCGUAAAGCGUGUGUAGGCGGUUUGCCAAGUCCGGUGUGAAAUCUCCCGGCUCAACUGGGAGGGUGCGCCGGAAACUGGCAGGCUAGAGUGCGGGAGAGGAGAGCGGAAUUCCUGGUGUAGGGGUGAAAUGCGUAGAUAUCAGGAGGAACACCGGUGGUGUAGACGGCUCUCUGGACCGAUACUGACGCUGAGACACGAAAGCGUGGGGAGCAAACAGGAUUAGAUACCCUGGUAGU
This 439-nucleotide ribosomal RNA is filed under the name uncultured Bryobacterales bacterium. Its description in RNAcentral is "partial 16S ribosomal RNA". It matches the Rfam family "Bacterial small subunit ribosomal RNA", at positions 338 to 794 of the family's 1533-position model. Lineage: Bacteria; Pseudomonadati; Acidobacteriota; Terriglobia; Bryobacterales. The record is from RNAcentral.